Molecule: long non-coding RNA, 1138 nt
Organism: Medicago truncatula (barrel medic)
Lineage: Eukaryota; Viridiplantae; Streptophyta; Magnoliopsida; Fabales; Fabaceae
Exons: 4
Source: RefSeq, a predicted model, not a curated record
CACGUUGGAAUCUCGUAUAUUUGGUAUAGAAGGUGUGUAAACACGUUUGUAUUGUUUCUGGAAAAUUUGAGCAGAAAUUGAAUUGUUUAGAGGGCAUAAGUUGUCAGUUAAGCUGUUUUGAGAAAAAUGCCUUAAAAGACUAAGUUGUGAAUUUAAACUGCUGUAUAAGUGGAUCAUAGGGCUUACUAUACAUUUUGGAACAUCUGUGUUAAAGUUUGGGUCGAAUUUGAUAUGAAAAAAAUAAAUAAAAAAAUCAUAAGUUGCUAGUUAAACCCUUUGUAUAAUAGCUUAAGUCGGAAUUUAAGUUGUGUCAGGUAUUAUCUUGUGAUGAACAGUUUAGGAGGGAUAUGUUGAAUUGGUAUAUGAGCAAUGGAAAAAGAAUAAGCUGUUCUAAUCAUGGUAAAAGAGCUUAAAUGGUAAUUAAGCUGUUUUGGAGGUGCUUAAAUAGCCAAACGACAAACUUCGGGUGCAGGGACUGGAAUGAAUUUUUUUUGUAUAUGCUGGUUGAUGAAGUAAGAGUAUGUCACAAAUGAGUUGAGUUGUUUCGGAAAGAGCAAGACCUAUAAGCCAAGACAUAUGCUAUUUUGGAAAAUGGACUAUGGAGUUUUGGAGCUAGCAAAAGCUGCAAAUUGUGGAUAAGCUGCUUGUAAUUUCGGGACUAAUGCCAAGAUAUACAAGUUAUUAUACGACAAGAUGGUUCGUGAUGAAGAAGAAGUAGCUUGACCAUAUAGAGUACACGUCAGUGGAACUAUUUCGGAGAAUUGAACGCUACACGGUUCUGAAAGGUUUUUCACCUCAUUUCUGCGAUCUGACUGAACCCACAAGGCUGCCAUGUACGUCCCUUUCUUCCCCAUUAUCCUUCGAUUUCUGCUCAAAGGUGUGAUUGUUAUGGAGAUUUCGUCCAUGGAUGUCAAUGAUGCAAGUUACUGCAAUCUCUGACAUUGUGUGUGGAAACACGAGCAUCAAAAUUAUAUGCUAGUCACCAUAUCUUUAAUUAUAUUCCAUCUUGUAUCUCUUCUAUUUUGAUGAAUGAAAUAAUAUAACUUUAUUACUGUCAAAAAAAAUCAUGAACCUCGUUUAUACAACCUUUGUUUAUUUUUUUUGCUUAAAUACAGUUUUACCCCCUAUUUUGAUUGAA